UACGAAGGGGGGCUAGCGUUGCUCGGAAUUACUGGGCGUAAAGGGCGCGUAGGCGGCACUGUUAGUCAGGCGUGAAAGUCCUGGGCUCAACCUGGGAACUGCGCUUGAUACGGCAGAGCUAGAGGAUGGAAGAGGGUCGCGGAAUUCCCAGUGUAGAGGUGAAAUUCGUAGAUAUUGGGAAGAACACCGGUGGCGAAGGCGGCGACCUGGUCCAUUACUGACGGCUGAGGCGCGACAGCGUGGGGAGCAAACAGG
RNAcentral lists this ribosomal RNA (255 nucleotides) under uncultured bacterium. RNAcentral's name for it is "partial 16S ribosomal RNA". It matches the Rfam family "Bacterial small subunit ribosomal RNA", at positions 524 to 776 of the family's 1533-position model. The record is from RNAcentral.